This 397-nucleotide ribosomal RNA is filed under the name uncultured bacterium. Its description in RNAcentral is "partial 16S ribosomal RNA". It matches the Rfam family "Bacterial small subunit ribosomal RNA", at positions 523 to 918 of the family's 1533-position model. The record is from RNAcentral.
AUACGUAGGGGGCGAGCGUUGUCCGGAAUGAUUGGGCGUAAAGGGCGCGUAGGCGGCCCGGUAAGUCUGGAGUGAAAGUCCUGUUUUUAAGAUGGGAAUUGCUUUGGAUACUGUCGGGCUUGAGUGCAGGAGAGGUUAUCGGAAUUCCCGGUGUAGCGGUGAAAUGCGUAGAGAUCGGGAGGAACACCAGUGGCGAAGGCGGGUAACUGGACUGCAACUGACGCUGAGGCGCGAAAGUGUGGGGAGCAAACAGGAUUAGAUACCCUGGUAGUCCACGCUGUAAACGAUGAAUGCUAGGUGUAAGAGGUAUCGACCCCUUUUGUGCCGGAGUCAACACAAUAAGCAUUCCGCCUGGGGAGUACGGCCGCAAGGUUGAAACUCAAAUGAAUUGGCGGGG